Molecule: ribosomal RNA, 472 nt
Filed under: uncultured bacterium
Lineage: Bacteria
Description: partial 16S ribosomal RNA
Rfam family: Bacterial small subunit ribosomal RNA
Source: RNAcentral
GACGAACGCUGGCGGCGUGCUUAACACAUGCAAGUCGAACGGGAGUAUCGAAGAAGCUUGCUUUUAAGAUACUUUAGUGGCGGACGGGUGAGUAACGCGUGAGGAGCUGUCCUAUGCAGGGGGACAACAGUUGGAAACGACUGCUAAUACCCCAUAAGCCGAGAGGUAAGAGGAUUUAUCCGGCAAAGGAGGUACUCGCGUCCUAUCAGCUAGUAGGUGAGGUAACGGCUCACCUAGGCGAAGACGGGUAGCCGGCCUGAGAGGGCGAACGGCCACACUGGAACUGAGAUACGGUCCAGACUCCUACGGGAGGCGGCAGUGGGGAAUAUAGGGCAAUGGGGGCAACCCUGACCCAGCGACGCCGCGUGGGUGAAGAAAUCCUUCGGGAUGUAAAGCCCUGUUGUAUGGGAAGAGCAGAAGACGGUACCAUACGAGGAAGCCCCGGCAAACUACGUGCCAGCCGCCGCCGUAA